This 502-nucleotide ribosomal RNA is filed under the name uncultured bacterium. RNAcentral's name for it is "partial 16S ribosomal RNA". It matches the Rfam family "Bacterial small subunit ribosomal RNA", at positions 28 to 507 of the family's 1533-position model. The record is from RNAcentral.
GACGAACGCUGGCGGCGUGCCUAAUACAUGCAAGUCGAACGAACCGCGACUAGGUGCUUGCACUUGGUCAAGGUGAGUGGCGAACGGGUGAGUAACACGUGGGUAACCUACCUCAUAGUGGGGGAUAACAGUCGGAAACGACUGCUAAUACCGCAUAGGACAUAGGAUCACAUGAUCCAGUGAGGAAAGGUGGCGCAAGCUAUCGCUAAGAGAUGGACCCGCGGUGCAUUAGCUAGUUGGUAGGGUAAAGGCCUACCAAGGCGAUGAUGCAUAGCCGACCUGAGAGGGUGAUCGGCCACAUUGGGACUGAGACACGGCCCAAACUCCUACGGGAGGCAGCAGUAGGGAAUCUUCCGCAAUGGACGCAAGUCUGACGGAGCAACGCCGCGUGAGUGAAGAAGGUCUUCGGAUCGUAAAGCUCUGUUGUUAGAGAAGAACAGCGCAUAGAGUAACUGUUAUGCGUGUGACGGUACCUAACCAGAAAGCCACGGCUAACUACGUG